GACGAACGCUGGCGGCGUGCCUAACACAUGCAAGUCGAACGGAGAUAUGCGAACGAGGCCUUCGGGCGGAGAUUGCAUAUUUUAGUGGCGGACGGGCGAGUAACGCGUGAGCAACCUGCCCUUCAGAGGGGGAUAACGGCUGGAAACGGCCGCUAAUACCGCAUGACAUAUACACAAGGCAUCUUGAGUAUAUCAAAGGAGGAAUCCGCUGAAGGAUGGGCUCGCGUCCGAUUAGCUGGUUGGUGAGGUAACGGCUCACCAAGGCGACGAUCGGUAGCCGAACUGAGAGGUUGAUCGGCCGCAUUGGGACUGAGACACGGCCCAGACUCCUACGGGAGGCAGCAGUGGGGGAUAUUGCACAAUGGAGGAAACUCUGAUGCAGCGACGCCGCGUGGGGGAAAAGGUCUUCGGAUUGUAAACCUCAGUAGUCAGGGAAGAAGCAAGUGACGGUACCUGAAGAGUAAGCUCCGGCUAACUACGUGCC
This 484-nucleotide ribosomal RNA is filed under the name uncultured bacterium. RNAcentral describes it as "bacterial SSU rRNA". It matches the Rfam family "Bacterial small subunit ribosomal RNA", at positions 28 to 509 of the family's 1533-position model. The record is from RNAcentral.